UGUCCAGACUCCUACGGGAGGCAGCAGCGGGGAAUAUUGCACAAUGGGGGAAACCCUGAUGCAGCGACGCCGCGUGAGCGAUGAAGUAUUUCGGUAUGUAAAGCUCUAUCAGCAGGGAAGAAGAUGACGGUACCUGACUAAGAAGCCCCGGCUAACUACGUGCCAGCAGCCGCGGUAAUACGUAGGGGGCAAGCGUUAUCCGGAUUUACUGGGUGUAAAGGGAGCGUAGACGGCGAUGCAAGCCAGAUGUGAAAGCCCGGGGCUCAACCCCGGGACUGCAUUUGGAACUGUGUGGCUGGAGUGUCGGAGAGGCAGGCGGAAUUCCUAGUGUAGCGGUGAAAUGCGUAGAUAUUAGGAGGAACACCAGUGGCGAAGGCGGCCUGCUGGACGAUGACUGACGUUGAGGCUCGAAAGCGUGGGGAGCAAACAGGAUUAGAUACCCUAGUAG
Molecule: ribosomal RNA, 448 nt
Filed under: uncultured bacterium
Lineage: Bacteria
Description: partial 16S ribosomal RNA
Rfam family: Bacterial small subunit ribosomal RNA
Source: RNAcentral